This 207-nucleotide ribosomal RNA is filed under the name uncultured bacterium. RNAcentral's name for it is "partial 16S ribosomal RNA". It matches the Rfam family "Bacterial small subunit ribosomal RNA", at positions 1296 to 1500 of the family's 1533-position model. The record is from RNAcentral.
GACUGUAGGCUGCAACUCGCCUACACGAAGCUGGGAUCGCUAGUAAUCGCGGAUCAGCACGCCGCGGUGAAUACGUUCCCGGGCCUUGUACACACCGCCCGUCACACCAUGAGAGUCUGUAACACCCAAAGCCGGUGGGAUAACCUUUAUAGGAGUCAGCCGUCUAAGGUAGGACAGAUGAUUAGGGUGAAGUCGUAACAAGGUAAC